UAAAACGGAGUUGUAAAUCGAAAGUUAUGUAUGUUUUAAGUUUGAUUAAUGGUAAAAAUGGGAGCUGGGCAUUUGCAGCAACAAUCCAGCAAACCUGCUGUUGAAAACAAGUCGUCGCGUCACGCGACGAUAAAGCUUCAGCACCGUCGUGCACCGUGACCAUUGUUACGCCCCGCGAGCGCCCAGAGUAUGGGCCGUCGCGCCCCGCGAGAAGCCAGAGAUCUGGAAUAAGUUGUGAUGCCGGAGGACGAUCAAGCUCAACGAAGAACCGAACACGAAUGAGAUAAAAGCUUCCGCACGCGGUUUCGAUGUCUUUUUUUAAGUGACGAAUCCAUACAUAUUUUGUUGUAUUUAUUAUUAUUGAGAAAAGUUUUUAAUUUAUCCGUAUUUUCCAAUGUACUUGUAAUUAUAAUUACAUGAUUAUGUUCGUAAUUUAAACGAAAACCGCUUAAUAAUA
Long non-coding RNA from Helianthus annuus (common sunflower), 457 nucleotides. RefSeq lists it as uncharacterized. The record is from RefSeq and is a predicted model, not a curated record. The transcript is spliced from 2 exons. NCBI's taxonomy places the organism in Eukaryota, Viridiplantae, Streptophyta, Magnoliopsida, Asterales, Asteraceae.